CAGUAGCCGCGGUAAUACGAAGGGUGCAAGCGUUAAUCGGAAUUACUGGGCGUAAAGCGCGCGUAGGUGGUUCAUUAAGUUGGAUGUGAAAGCCCUGGGCUCAACCUGGGAACUGCAUCCAAAACUGGCAAGCUAGAGUAUGGUAGAGGGUGGUGGAAUUUCCUGUGUAGCGGUGAAAUGCGUAGAUAUAGGAAGGAACACCAGUGGCGAAGGCGACCACCUGGACUGAUACUGACACUGAGGUGCGAAAGCGUGGGGAGCAAACAGGAUUAGAUACCCCAGUAGUCCCUGUCUCUUAUAC
This 301-nucleotide ribosomal RNA is filed under the name uncultured bacterium. RNAcentral describes it as "partial 16S ribosomal RNA". It matches the Rfam family "Bacterial small subunit ribosomal RNA", at positions 509 to 807 of the family's 1533-position model. The record is from RNAcentral.